This is a long non-coding RNA of Mangifera indica (mango), 1016 nucleotides long. RefSeq lists it as uncharacterized. NCBI's taxonomy places the organism in Eukaryota, Viridiplantae, Streptophyta, Magnoliopsida, Sapindales, Anacardiaceae. The record is from RefSeq and is a predicted model, not a curated record. The transcript is spliced from 2 exons.
UAAUGCCCUGCAGUUUGCAUUUUAUCAGUUUCUCAAUUUCAGAAAGUAGCUCUUGUUCAAUAUGGGAGAGAGAUGAGUACCUGAACAAAGAGACCUGAACCAAGUUGCUUGGCCACCCCAUGUAAGGGGAGUCAACAAGUGCAUAAACACCACUGGAUCCACAACCAGCAAAAAUGGUGAUCAACACAUGUUCUUUCAUAUUGAAAGGCCCUCGAUUCAAUGAAAACGACCAUGGUGUGAAUGGGACUCGAAUCGGCUUUGAAGGAAGUGUUGCAGCCAUUAACUUUCCUGCUGGGAGCACAAGAAUUUGAGCUGAAACUGAAACAACAUACAGCAUAUUCUGGCGAUAUUGAAAGAAUUGGUUCACAAAGGCAAGCAAGGAACACGAUAUCAUCCCCAGAAACCAUGUUCGAAAGGUUAAAUCUGGCAGCAAAGGAUCAUCAGUGACUUGAACUGUAAGCCUCACUUCCUCAAUAGGGUUAUCAUUUAAUUUCUCAUCUCCUGCGUCAACAAACUUCCAGCUUACUAAAACAUAGGCCAAAGUCUGCAAAAAGCAUUUCUUACAUAUAUAUGCAGCAUUCAUCCAUCAUGCAAGAGAUAGUUUCAAAAUUUAAGUUUCUGAGAGCAUGAAAGUUGGGACCUAGCUUGUUUCAUGUCAAUAAAAACAACAUGAUUUACACCAGUUUAGACGAAGAAGAGUGACAAAGAAAAUUACCUUCUACAUUUAUGUUUGUUGGAGUUUGUUCCUUCUUCUCUGACUCAUGAAGUGACUUGGCAUCAGAGAUUUCAUCUUCAACAAAGCUUCCCAUCUCUCUGCUUCUCUUCUUGGCCAGAGAUGGUAACGCUUAUUAGAUUUAUAAAUGCCUGCAAGGUUACCGUUUAUGGAUGCCAAGCACCUGUCUUGCUAUAGUUUCUUGUUAAAUUUCCACUCGUCAUUAAUUUCCCUUAAGUGAAAGAGUAAAAAAGUCAUUUUGGAUAGAUUUUUCUUCUUUUCAAUUUUUGUUCUUUCUGUUUUC